AGAGUUAGGGAGAGGCGGCCGAGCUGCACACCUUGAGCCCCGGCCUCCUCCGAAGGGAACCCCUGCACCCCAGCGGGGUCAGCACAAGGUAGAGAAGGUAGAGGUCAGGGUGGAACAAAAGGGAAGGUCCCGCGGGUGUGCACGCUCUCGCAGGCACACAGCCGGCUCGCGGAGACACAGGGGCGGGGGAGGGGAGGGGAGGGGAGGGGAGGGCCUGACCUGAGAGGCCAGAGCGGGCGUGGGGGCCCCCCUCGGGUCAGGAGCCGGCCUCACCUUUGCAGUUCUUAUAUACCCGGCCAAGCAUCCCAAACACGCGGCCCUGGCCAAGUGGCCCCCUCGGGCUGCGCUCCCUGACCAUAUUUAGUCAAGCAGGGGAAAAAAUAGCCUGUCAGCUGGGCCGCGGCUGGCCCGGCCACCGGGAACAGGGUGGGAGCACCCACGCCAUUGACGGCGGGUCCCGGGCUCAGGCUGCUGUCCUGCCCCUCCCGGCCCCUCCCUGACAGGCCUCCCACCGGCUGUCCCUGCCCGAGAUCCCCCCGCUAUUUUUAGCCCAGCCAGUACAGAGGCGCCUCCUCAGUAGCCGGGCAGCAGCCUCCAUGCCAUGCCAGCCGGCUCCUAGGGUGCCCUGGGGAGACCCGGGCAUCUCCCAGGCUGCAGGGCCGGGGGUGGGGGGGGCGGGCAGAAUGGUACGGCCUCCUUCGCUGCUCUGAGCCUCCAGUGGGCUGAGCCCACCCAGGCCACCAGGAGUGGGUGGCCCCCUCCACAGUCCCAUCGGCUCUGCCCUUUUGCCUAGAAUUGGGGCCAGGAUCAGGUGGUGACAGAGCCACCUGGGUUUCCGGAGACUCUCAAGCCAACCCCAAGUCAUGACAAAUGCCAGUCGCCUUGGACAGAGGCAAGGGCCUGGACGCAGAGACCAGAGGCCUGAACUGGCAGACUGUCCUCACAGGCUGUGUGACGCUGGCUGGUCGUCCCAUCUCUCUGGGGCCCCACAGGACUGGGGACCAGGUCGUGGAAUGACAGUGGACCACAGUGGUCCGGGGACCCCGCUCGUUGGUGGCAGGCACAGGCCCGUGUGAUGGGGACAAUGAGCUUUGGUAUUUGUGAGUCCUGUCCAGAGCAUAGGUCCUCCUGUUCAGAAGCCACCUCAUAAAUGUCCCCAGUGCCUCCCGGACUUAGGAAGGCAUCCCCUUGUGGUUCUGGCCAGUUAGGGACACAGGGCCGGGGAGUCUAUGCCGCUCAGAACAGGCUCAGCUGCAUCUAAUCCCAGGGGAGCCCCUGAGGAGCCUGCACACCCCCCAGGCUGGCCCACAGGAGCUGAGGCAGGGCUCUCCUCCAGGUUCACCUCCUGGGCUCACGGCCCCUUCCCCACAUCCCAAGGCCGGCUCUGCAGAGUCAUGGGGAGAAGCCGGAGCCCCAGCCACACUCGCCACACACGCCGACACCCACUCUGGUGUCCUCCGGCCAGCGACAGCGAGGGACAGAGGGACGCCCCCUGCACCUGCCCAGUGCAGAGGCUUCUUGAGUGAUGCCAGGCCCUUCUCCCAGCCCUGUACGCCCCGCUAAAGACCCCAUGUCUCACCAUAAAGGAGGCCAGGAGGUUUUAAGCUUCUACCUGGUCUGAGCACUUUUCUGGAAACUAAAUAGCCACUCGGCUUCCCACUGGCAGCGGGAGAGCGUGGUGUGAGGUGUGGUGUCCAAACUCCCCCUGCAAGGCCCCUCCCCUGCAGCCCACUUCCUCCUGCCUGCCGUCUCCAGGCAGGGUUGAGGGGGGCAGGCCAGGCCUGCAGCUGGGGUCAGGGGCAUAGACAGCCACAAUGGGGGAGGUGGGGAGCAGUCUGCAGGCCUGGGCAGGCGGCUCUGUAAAGGAUGCGGGUGCUUUGUGGUGGUGAGAGAGAGGGUAUGCAGCAGACGUGGCCAUAAAUCACCCUCCUCACGGCAGCCCCACACCCACGGACCAGGGCACGGGCACAGGGCCAUCUCCUUCCAGGAGAAGGGCUGGUGUGGGUGGCCAGAUCUGACAGCCCCCAGGCCGUAGGACAGAGCCAGAAGACAGAGCAGUUCCCCCGUUUACCCAUAGCACCAGCCUCACAGUAACAGCCGGCACACAGCACUUAGGCUGCCUGGUGUUCCAGAAGCUUCUGCAGGGGCUCUAUGCUGCACUCAAGGCAUCCCUAAGAGGAGAGCAUUUUGCUGUCCCCACUUUACGGAGAAGGAACGUGGGCUCAGGGUGGUUUAAGGCGUGAAUGAAUGAAGGAGCAAGCAGUAAGCCCCGACAGCAAGGCCACCACAGCCCUCGCCCCACAGGGACGCCUGAGCAAGGACCCAAGCAGGGGACAAGCAGGCUCACCCCGCCCUUGCGGGGCUGACCACGAGGCCCCGUCCGGUGGAACACGCCAUGACGCUUCAGGAGGCUCAUGUAGCUGGCGCCGUAUGGGACAGCGGGGGAGAGAGAAAAUGCACAGCCCAGGGAAUGUGGAGACAGGCCCAGCGCCAGGCAUGGGGGCCGGAAGGAGCAGCCGGGGAGCAGGGGGCAGGGCCUGGAGUCCCGCCUUGCAGGUCAGAGAUCUGAACCUGCCCCAGCCCCAGGACUCUGAGUGCAGCAAGAGGGGAGCCGGGCUGGAGAGUGGGGAGCACGGAGACUGUGGCCUGGAUGGUGCCAGAGCAAACAGGAGAGAGGCUGCCCAACGCAGAGGCUGCAGCACAGACCAGAGGGUCCCGGGGCUGACUGGGUGGGGGCAGCUCCCAGCGAGAGGCCCCUGGGAUUUGGGUAAGUAGAGGCACAUGCAGACUCUGGCCACAGGGCACCUCGCGCACGAGGGGAGUUCACCACACAAGCUGAGCGGAGGGCGGACGCAGGAGAGCAGCGGUUUCUCGGAAGCCAAGGGCGGUCAUGGAGCCCCACGCCACAGCGCUUCCCACGGGGCCACACCAUCCGGUCUGCGGAGGGGGCUGCAUUGCCGGGAAGGACCAUCUGAUUCUGGAUUCCAGCCUCACCCUGGGCCACCGCUGAGUGUCCCAAGUGGCCCCUUAGCCCCCAGGGCCAGGCGGCAUCCCAAUCCCCUAGGGAUGUCUGUGCUCAGAAUGUGGCACACACGCCCCGGCAGGGCCAUCCUCCUCCUCCUGCACCCGCCACAGCCGUGGAUUCGGGGUCUCUAUCGUGGGCAGAAAUUCACACAGUCAAGGUGAGGGUCCCAGGAGCAGCUGUGACCAGGCCCCGGCUGCCAGGGAGAGGGGGUCUUCAGCCGACGGGGCAGACACCCUGAGAUGGACCCUUGUCCAGGGGAGGGCCCUGCCACCCACAAUUCCUUGGCAUUCCUGCACCAGCAGGACGGGCUGAGGGAGGCGCCUCACCAGUGCCAGCGCCCAGCAUCACUGUGCCCCGGUGGAGGGGGAGGCCCUUCCGAGCCUGGGCCUGGGUGUGGAUGAGGGCAGGUCUCUCACCUCUCUGACCUCAGCUUCCUCAACUGGGAAGGGGGGCCACAGCACCCCCUUAGGGGUGAUGAGGAAGUGGGAGCUCAGGGAGGACCCCGGGCAGGGCUGCCUCCUCACCUCUCUUCGGCCUUUGGACACUGGAGCUCAGAGGACCAAGUGAAUGAAUGAAUGACUCGAUCAAUCAACUGAUCCAUGAAUCCAUGGACCCCUGAACAGCUGGACAGCUGGGCUGUGGGCAGGACAGGGGACUCUGGCUGAAGCCGCGUUCAUAUGUGUUCAGCUUUAGGCCUCCACUGUGCCCGGACCAGCGGCCCACUCAGUGAGUCGAGUGUGCACCUGGCACCCCUCUUUCUGGAAAUCCACGAACAAUGGGCUCCCAGCAGAGGACUGAGGCUGAGCAGGCCACUUCCCUGGAGCUGACCCCACAGCUGUCCUGCUCCUCCUUCGCCUUCUGCCAUGACUGUAAGCUUUCUGAGGGCUGACCAGAAGCCCAGCAGAUGCCAGCACCAUGCUUCCUAUACAGCCUGCAGAACCGUGAGCCAGCUAAACCUCUCCUCAUAAAUCACCGAGCCCCAGGUUUAUCUUUACAGCAAUGCAAGACCUGACUAAUACAGCACCAGCUCCCCAAAAUAAAAAGAAAUAUUCAAACAAAUAAGCGCACAGAAGUGUUCCCAGCAGCACUAUUCACAGCAGCCAAAAGGCGGAGGAGCCACAGGCUUGUCAGCUGAUGACAGAUAAAGAAAGCAUGGCCUGUCAUCCCAGCACUUUGGGAGGCCGAGGUGGGUGGAUCACCUGAGGUUGGGAGUUCAAGACCAGCCUGGCCAACAUGGUGAAACCCAGUCUCUACUAAAAAUAUAAAAAUUAGCUGGGUGUGAUGAUGAGCGCCUGUAGUCCCAGCUACUUGGAAGGCUGAGGAACAAGAAUCGCUUGAACCCGGGAGGCAGAGGUCGCAGUGAACCGAGAUCAU
This 4399-nucleotide long non-coding RNA is filed under the name Homo sapiens (human). RNAcentral's name for it is "non-protein coding MIR1-1HG-AS1:43". Lineage: Eukaryota; Metazoa; Chordata; Mammalia; Primates; Hominidae. The record is from RNAcentral.